ACUCCUAGGGAGGCAGCAGUGGGGAAUUUUCCGCAAUGGGCGAAAGCCUGACGGAGCAACGCCGCGUGAGGGAUGAAGGCCUCUGGGCUGUAAACCUCUUUUCUCAAGGAAGAAGAACUGACGGUACUUGAGGAAUAAGCCACGGCUAAUUCCGUGCCAGCAGCCGCGGUAAUAC
This 175-nucleotide ribosomal RNA is filed under the name uncultured bacterium. Its description in RNAcentral is "partial 16S ribosomal RNA". It matches the Rfam family "Bacterial small subunit ribosomal RNA", at positions 335 to 526 of the family's 1533-position model. The record is from RNAcentral.